Molecule: long non-coding RNA, 848 nt
Organism: Oryza brachyantha (malo sina)
Lineage: Eukaryota; Viridiplantae; Streptophyta; Magnoliopsida; Poales; Poaceae
Exons: 3
Source: RefSeq, a predicted model, not a curated record
UGAACUUGUUGAUGUGAUCAAGAAAUUGUACCAGUUCUAUGCUACCUCUACACCUUCAUCUUCAAGGACUAGGAAUAAAACAAAUGAACCUAUGGAUGUUGAUACAGCAGAUCUGUUAGUGGACAAUGAAGAUGAUGAACUAGAAAGCUACUUAUAUGACUCAAGUGGACCUCAUGCAGAGGACUUAAAUGAGCUUGAUAAGUAUAUGGCUGAUCCACCUUUAAGGUUUAGUGGUCAAUUUGAUAUUUCAUCAUGGUGAAAGAACCAGGUUGAUAAGUAUCCUAUUCUUGCAAAAAUAGCUCGUGAUUUGUUGGCUGUACAAGUCUCAACCGUUGCUUCCGAGUCUGCAUUUAGUGCCGGUGGACGUGUGAUUGAUCCGUUUCGCAGCCGCCUUGAGCAUGAAAUGGUAGAAGCUUUGAUAUACAUGAAGGAUUGGGUUGCUGCAGCAAGAAGAGAUAAGAAGGUAGGCUCCAUUCUGGGUGAUCUUGAAGUUAUAGAGGCCCUUGCUUCAAAAUUAGUUUAGAGGAUGGAGAAGUUGCAGAUAGUGAUGAAGAGGUGGAUCUGUCCAAUACAGAAGAUGUAUUGUUCAAUACCUACGGGGGAUUUGCUUAACUUCAUCGCUUUUGCUUCGCAUAUCAGAUUCUACCUAUCUAUUAUAAAAUUCAUUCAUGUAUCAGUUGAGCAGUGUCAUGUGUGAUGUGUUUGUAAAACAUGUAUAAACUUUGAACUAUUAUGUAUUUGUGUCAUGGUGUGAUCGUGUGGAUGUGCCAUACUGUCAUACUGUCUACUAUGAUCUUAUGAGUUAUGAGAAAUUGAGAAUGUGUUGAACUGUUGAUCAACUAAUUUAU